RNAcentral lists this ribosomal RNA (857 nucleotides) under Helotiales sp. RNAcentral describes it as "partial large subunit ribosomal RNA". It matches the Rfam family "Eukaryotic large subunit ribosomal RNA", at positions 66 to 946 of the family's 3401-position model. The record is from RNAcentral. Lineage: Eukaryota; Fungi; Ascomycota; Leotiomycetes; Helotiales.
CAACAGGGAUUACCUCAGUAACGGCGAGUGAAGCGGUAACAGCUCAAAUUUGAAAGCUAGCUCUUUUAGGGUUCGCAUUGUAAUUUGUAGAAGAUGCUUCGGGUGUGGCCCCGGUCUAAGUUCCUUGGAACAGGACGUCAUAGAGGGUGAGAAUCCCGUAUGUGACUGGGUGCUUUCGCUCAUGUGAAGCUCUUUCGACGAGUCGAGUUGUUUGGGAAUGCAGCUCAAAAUGGGUGGUAAAUUUCAUCUAAAGCUAAAUAUUGGCCAGAGACCGAUAGCGCACAAGUAGAGUGAUCGAAAGAUGAAAAGCACUUUGGAAAGAGAGUUAAACAGUACGUGAAAUUGUUGAAAGGGAAGCGCUUGCAACCAGACUUGCGCGCUGAUGAUCAUCCGGGCUUCUGCCCGGUGCACUCGUCUGCGCUCAGGCCAGCAUCGGUUUCGGUGGUGGGAUAAAGGCCUUGGGAAUGUAGCUUCUUUCGGGGAGUGUUAUAGCCCUCGGUGCAAUGCCGCCUACCGGGACCGAGGACCGCGCUUCGGCUAGGAUGCUGGCGUAAUGGUUGUAAGCGACCCGUCUUGAAACACGGACCAAGGAGUCUAACAUCUAUGCGAGUGUUUGGGUGUCAAACCCAUACGCGUAAUGAAAGUGAACGGAGGUGAGAACCCUUAAGGGUGCAUCAUCGACCGAUCCUGAUGUCUUCGGAUGGAUUUGAGUAAGAGCAUAGCUGUUGGGACCCGAAAGAUGGUGAACUAUGCGUGAAUAGGGUGAAGCCAGAGGAAACUCUGGUGGAGCUCGCAGCGGUUCUGACGUGCAAUCGAUCGUCAAUUUGCGUAUAGGGGCGAAGACUAUCGAACAUCUA